RNAcentral lists this ribosomal RNA (504 nucleotides) under Platyphora haroldi. Its description in RNAcentral is "partial 12S ribosomal RNA". The record is from RNAcentral. Lineage: Eukaryota; Metazoa; Arthropoda; Insecta; Coleoptera; Chrysomelidae.
GCGGUUAUACAAAUAAUAUAAUUUAAUUUAAUCAGUAAUAAUUAAUUAAAAUUUUAAAUUAAAAUUUGUAAGGUGAAAUUUUAAAUUUUAAUAAAGUUUAGUUUUUAUAAUGAAGUUAAAAAAUUUAAUAAAUAAACUAGGAUUAGAUACCCUAUUAUUUUAAAUGUAAUUUUAAGUACUAAAUUAGUAAUAGUUGUGUUCUUGAAAAUUAAAAAAUUUGGCGGUAUCUUAGUCUAUUCAGAGGAACCUGUUCUAUAAUUGAUAAUCCACGAUUUAAUUUACUUUUUUUAUUAGUUUGUAUAUCGUCGUAAUGGAAUAUUUUAUGAGAAUUAUUAUAUUCAAGAUUUCAAAUAAGAAAAUAAAUCAGAUCAAGGUGCAGUUUAUAAAAAAGAAGAAAUGGGUUACAAUAAAUUUAAUUUGCAAUUAUUAUUUUUAAAAUAAUAUGAAUAUGGAUUUGAAAGUAAAUUUAAUUAAUUAAUUAAAUUGAUUUAGCUCUAAGAUAUG